CCUACGGGAGGCAGCAGUGGGGAAUCUUGCGCAAUGGGCGAAAGCCUGACGCAGCAACGCCGCGUGCGGGAAGAAGGCCUUCGGGUUGUAAACCGCUUUCAGAAGGAACGAAAAUGACGGUACUUUCAGAAGAAGGUGCGGCCAACUACGUGCCAGCAGCCGCGGUGACACGUAGGCACCAAGCGUUGUCCGGAUUUAUUGGGCGUAAAGAGCUCGUAGGCGGUUCGGUAAGUCGGGUGUGAAAACUUUGGGCUCAACCCAAAGCGUGCAUUCGAUACUGUCGUGACUAGAGUUCGGUAGGGGAGCGGGGAAUUCCUAGUGUAGCGGUGAAAUGCGCAGAUAUUAGGAGGAACACCGGUGGCGAAGGCGCCGCUCUGGGCCGAAACUGACGCUGAGGAGCGAAAGCGUGGGUAGCAAACAGGAUUAGAUACCCUGGUAGUCCACGCCGUAAACGUUGGGGCACUAGGUGUGGGUCUCAACCAACGAGAUCCGCGCCGUCGCAAACGCAUUAAGUGCCCCGCCUGGGGAGUACGGCCGCAAGGUUAAAACUCAAAGGAAUUGACGG
This 565-nucleotide ribosomal RNA is filed under the name uncultured bacterium. RNAcentral describes it as "bacterial SSU rRNA". It matches the Rfam family "Bacterial small subunit ribosomal RNA", at positions 338 to 916 of the family's 1533-position model. The record is from RNAcentral.